This 25-nucleotide non-coding RNA is filed under the name Mus musculus (house mouse). Lineage: Eukaryota; Metazoa; Chordata; Mammalia; Rodentia; Muridae. The record is from RNAcentral.
UAGGGAGAUGCCUCACUCGUUCAGA